UUCUUUUUCUAAAAAUCAGUUUUUUUUAAGUGUAGAUGAGUGUAACGAAUAUACAAAAAUGAAUAUUUAUAUAUAUGACUGCAUUUCUUAUAAAAAUAUAUCUUAAUUAAUAUCAUAACGAUACAUUAGAUGUAAAAUCAACGUAAUAUAUAACACCACUAAUAUUUUUUUUUUCACUUUACAAGCUAAGUUUAUCAUGCUGCUACUACUACUAGUGAUAAUUUAUUUUGUAAAAGGUUAUUAGACGACUUGUCAUAGAUAAAGAGAAAGGUAACUUGGUGAAGGUUGACCGAUUUGGUUAUGUGAAGAGGACUAUGCAUGGCACAAAACUGCUAUCCACCCAAGCUGUAAGGUGUGGCCUUUAACCUUAAUAUUAUGAAGAGGACUUGUCGUAGAUAAUUAUUUUUACUUUUUAUGUUUUGAAUCAUUUCGUUGUUAACCGUGUGCUUCUGAAAGUGAGUUGUAUGGGAGGGAACUGGUGGACCUGCGGAAUGAAAGUCUGUGGGAGUUUCUCAUGUGUAGGUAGGUAGUCACUCUAUUUAUUUAUUUAUUUUUUUUUAAUAUAUAAAUUCAUUAUUCCCACCAUCAGAUAUGUGACAUCUUUCCAGUUUUAGAUAAAUAAAACUAAUUUGAUCCAUUAUUGUUGUAUUUCAAAUGGUUGAUAGAUUGGAUGAAGGGAUUAUUUCACCGGAUCUUGGCAUACUUUAUGAAUUUUUUCUAAUAAAAUACUUUAUUUUGUAUGUUGAUUUUCAUCGGUGUAUGAAUUUUUUCGUUUGCUUCAGGCUGUUGGUAAGGCCCUCUUUAGGGCUCAUGUUAAAGGUCAACUAAAGGUAAAUUUAUAAUUAAUUAAGGCCUUGAAUAGUAGUAAUAUUAUAAUUAAUUUUAUGCUACAGAAUGAGAUAAUGUCGAAGCCAGAGCUGUUUGUAGAGCCUGAUCCAGAGCUACCUUUAGCACUUCUUGACCACAGGGGCAUCUCCAACUCCAAGUCGAGCAAACAUGGCUAACAACAUGCAACAAAUGUCAGAACUUACUGGAUCUGCUUUGGAGCAGCUUGCAUUACAAACACUUGCACGAUUCAAUUUCAAGGGCCAUGAUCUUCUUCAAUUUGCAGGAGAUGAUGGAGCCACAAGGAAAGAUGCUGCUCUUUGCUGCUGCAAGAGAUGAUGGAGCCCAGUAGAUCCAAUGGAUCUUCAAGUUCGGAAGUAUGCAGUAUCAGUGGUUGGUAGAUUAUCUGAAAAAACCCUGCAUAUGUUUUUCUAGCACUUCGGCGUCGCCUUAUUCAGUUGUUAACAUAUAUUGCACAAAUGUCACAAGAAUUAUCGGAGAAGGGGUUCAUUAGUCUUAAAGAAUUAUGAAAGGAAAGAUGCAACUCUACUUAGUUGGAAUUUGAUGUUUAUCAUCUUUGUGUAUAUCUUUGUAGUUUGUAUAGCAUUACUUUGCAGAAGGUGUCCCUUGAUACACAAUGUAGUAUUAGGUUAUAUAGUUAGGGAAAACCUCUUAAUAACAAUGUACAAUUAGAUCCCCUUAAUAUCAAUGUAUUACAAUUUUUUGA
This is a non-coding RNA of Lactuca sativa (garden lettuce), 1552 nucleotides long. The record is from RefSeq and is a predicted model, not a curated record. Lineage: Eukaryota; Viridiplantae; Streptophyta; Magnoliopsida; Asterales; Asteraceae.